RNAcentral lists this long non-coding RNA (853 nucleotides) under Rhinopithecus bieti (black snub-nosed monkey). Its description in RNAcentral is "lncRNA (ENSRBIG00000046593.1)". Lineage: Eukaryota; Metazoa; Chordata; Mammalia; Primates; Cercopithecidae. The record is from RNAcentral.
UUUUUGAAGUGCUGUUUCUCUAAAUAUACAGCCAGUCACCAGCAAGCAACACUGUGAACUGCUGAAACAGCCGAAGAAUCAAAUAACUGCACAGGGCUCUCAAUUGGGGAGAGUGAUUCUAGGUUAAGCAAACAAAGGAGUGGUGCCUUUACCUCCUGGUGAACUGCAAGUUUGCAAUGGGCCAGGAUUUCAGGAUGGGCACUUCCCCCACUUACCAAGUGAAAUGCCCCCUGCAGGGCUUGUGAGCGAGGCUUUUCCCAGAGCGUGGGACAGGGUGGCUCCAUGUCUGCAUCUGCUCAUGCCUGCUCUCCCAACCAUUGUCCCAGGGCACAUCAGCAGACCUGCCCUGCAUCUUCUAGCCAGCCGUGCCCUAGCCAGCCAUGCCAGGAGGGACCCUGGCCUCAACAGGAGCAGGCAGAAGCCCAGAUGCACCAGUGAUGCGAUUUGCAGAAAUGAUUUUUCCAGUGACUGUGCCAAUGUAACUGCUGCCAAACCACCCCAGGGACCAACGGGAGCUGGUGAUGACUGUGCCAUGUUCAGGAGGUCACAUGAGGCCAGCAGAGGAUGGAAGAGACCAGCAAAGAGUAAGAUCAGUCAUCCUUCAAAUAACUGCCCUGGGCAGGGAAGGACAUUCUCCUUCUCCAAGAGAUCAUGAGUUGGAGGUGGAACGGAAACUGGACCUGUAAGAAGUGUGCCUGGCAAGAACUUGUGUGUCCUGUCACGGGCAGCUUUCUGUAGAAGCCUGGCUGCGCGUAUCAGGAGAUGUAUCAACCUCCAGAGGAACUUCUUUAAAUUGGCAGUUUCUGACCCAAGUCAGAGAAUUUGAUUCAGCUGUUUUGCAGUGGCAGCCAGC